RNAcentral lists this ribosomal RNA (403 nucleotides) under uncultured bacterium. RNAcentral's name for it is "bacterial SSU rRNA". It matches the Rfam family "Bacterial small subunit ribosomal RNA", at positions 355 to 774 of the family's 1533-position model. The record is from RNAcentral.
UAGGGAAUAUUGCGAAAUGGGCGAAAGCCCGAUGCAGCAACGCCGCGUGGGCGAUGAAGGCCUUCGGGUCGUAAAGCCCUUUUUGAGGGGAUGAGGAAGGACAGUACCCUCAGAAUAAGCCUCGGCUAACUACGUGCCAGCAGCCGCGGUAAAACGUAGGAGGCGAGCGUUAUCCGGAUUUACUGGGCGUAAAGCGCGUGCAGGCGGAGUGGAGAGUUGGACGUGAAAGCUCCCGGCUUAACUGGGAGAGGUCGUUCAAUACUUCCAGUCUUGAGUGCAGUAGAGGGGAGUGGAAUUCCUGGUGUAGUGGUGAAAUGCGUAGAUAUCCGGAGGAACACCAGUGGCGAAAGCGGCUUCCUGGACUGUAACUGACGCUCAGACGCGAAAGCUAGGGUAGCAAACG